AGGUGGCGGGCUUGGCCUUGUUUUGCCGCCUAGUUUCCGGAACUUCAAAUCUUCUCCAUAAAAAUUCAUUUCUAGUUAGCAAAUUAAUCUAGCCAUCCCUAGUUGACUCCUAGUAAAUUACCCAAAAAUAAAAAUAAGCAAACGAACUUGCAUCAACUUGAGAUGGUUGCAUAGCCAAGAUGGAUGCAGCCAGUGGCGGACGCACGUAGGGACGAGUGGGGGCAGCUGCCCCCAGUGAACUUUUAUUUUUGUUGAACCGGUCUCCGUUUUGCCCCCACAAUCAAUAUCCAAGAUUCCAAAUACUUGUUCUCCUCCUUCCUCCGAUCUAAUUCCAUCUGCAUGCUGGCUUUUCUGGCAUCCCUUGCUUAAGUGACCCCCUGAUUUGGAUUUUGUAUCCACUGAUCUGCACCUCCAUCUACUUCUCAUACCUUGAUUCCGGAUCGAUCAGGCUCCGAAGUACAAAGGUUGCUGGGGUGGGAAAGAGAAGAGGAGGGAUUCAAGAUUGUGGUGGACUUCGGGGGGAGGAUUUGGGUUUGUUUCCGGAGAGGUGGAUUCGAAAAUUUUGAUCGAGUUUGGGGGAUAGUUUUCAGCAGGAAAAGAGAUUAGCUGCUGCUUUGACAACUAUGAUGUUCCUCAGGGACAGUUGUUUGAAUUUCAAGUCCAUCUGCAUAGCAGCAGAGUAUUCAUGGGGGCUGUUUUUUUAUAUCUAUUUGAUGAUGCUAGUGAUACAUCAGAUGAUAGAUCGAUGGUCUAUCAUGAUAAGGUAGUACAUGCUCCUGGUUCGUCAUGUCAAAAGCAUGGGAAUGGUCCUCUGGUUGGGGUGAAAAGAUUUAUUUCUCUUGUUGGCGGGUGAUAUCUACAAUAUAGCAGUAUAUGUUUAGGUGCUAUAUUCACAAUUCAUGUACUAAAUGAAAAUCUAUCAAUCUAUUUGAUAUAAAAUAUAGCGAUUGAAGUUU
Molecule: long non-coding RNA, 956 nt
Organism: Rosa chinensis
Lineage: Eukaryota; Viridiplantae; Streptophyta; Magnoliopsida; Rosales; Rosaceae
Exons: 3
Source: RefSeq, a predicted model, not a curated record